This is a long non-coding RNA of Argiope bruennichi, 422 nucleotides long. RefSeq lists it as uncharacterized. The record is from RefSeq and is a predicted model, not a curated record. The transcript is spliced from 4 exons. Lineage: Eukaryota; Metazoa; Arthropoda; Arachnida; Araneae; Araneidae.
AUCAACUAAUAUCUCAACCAUGAUAUAAAUAUUAAUUUAUUGAAUCAUCAUUGUUGGAAGAUUAUUUAAAGUCGAUUUAAUCCAAUCGUAAUUGAUGGCCAUGAUACUAAAUAGAAAAAUAAAGCAUUGGAAAUUGCUGGUAAUGGUAAGAAAAAACCAUCUACUGUUUAGCAACAACUUACAAAGGCAAAGGAUUAGUCGCAAUUAGAUCAAAGGACAAGCUUUCGGCUCCGUUCUCUCUGACUACCAGUGGUCCUAAGUAGCUGCCUAUCUGAUAUCCACUACUCAUGAAGACAAUAUAUACCAUGUUCUUUACGGAAAUGAAAUUUUUAAUAAUUCUAAGAGGCAGGCGAAGUUCACAGAAAAUGACACAAAGAUGCUACAGUUAAUGUAGAAGGUAUUUUCUAUCUCUUGAAAUAUUC